This 56-nucleotide non-coding RNA is filed under the name Steroidobacter denitrificans. RNAcentral's name for it is "Li+-I sequence". It matches the Rfam family "nhaA-I RNA". Rfam says of the family: Acidobacteria, Alphaproteobacteria, Betaproteobacteria and Gammaproteobacteria, Verrucomicrobia, cand. division NC10. Downstream gene Lineage: Bacteria; Pseudomonadati; Pseudomonadota; Gammaproteobacteria; Steroidobacterales; Steroidobacteraceae. The record is from Rfam by way of RNAcentral.
AGGUGUUAGCUGCAUAUCGCAGCGGAACAGGUUCAUGCGCUGGUCGGGCCGCCACG